This 266-nucleotide ribosomal RNA is filed under the name uncultured Gemmatimonas sp. RNAcentral describes it as "partial 16S ribosomal RNA". It matches the Rfam family "Bacterial small subunit ribosomal RNA", at positions 95 to 358 of the family's 1533-position model. The record is from RNAcentral. Lineage: Bacteria; Pseudomonadati; Gemmatimonadota; Gemmatimonadia; Gemmatimonadales; Gemmatimonadaceae.
CCGGCGAACGGGUUCGUAACACGUGAGAAACCUACCGAGAUGAGGGGGAUAGCCGGCCCAACAGGCCGGGUAAUCCCGCAUACGAUCAUUUGGGGGAGUCCCCGAAUGAGGAAACUCGUAAGAGGCAUUUCGAGGGGCUCGCGGCCUAUCAGCUAGUUGGCGGGGUAAUGGCCCACCAAGGCGACGACGGGUAGCUGGUCUGAGAGGAUGACCAGCCUCACUGGGACUGAGACACGGCCCAGACUCCUACGGGAGGCAGCAGUGGG